GCCUAUGUGCUUCCUGUAAAAGCCAGGAUGUGAGGGCAACUGCUACAAGCUGAGAACCACAGAGUAAAAUAUGAAUGUUUCCGGUGUGAAAGGACUAGUUUGUUUUCAACCCACCUUCUCAUGGAACCAACUAGGAAAUCUAGAGACAGGGUCUCACUGUCACCCAGGCUGGAGUAACAUGAUGUGCAGUGUCGCAUGGACAGUGAUGUGCGGUGUGGACAGCGAUGUCCAGGCUGGAGUGACAGUGGAGUGCGGUGGUGUGGUCAUAGCUCACUGCAACCUUGAACUCUUAGGUGCAGCAAUCCUCCUGCCUCAGCCUCCUGAGUAGCUGGGACUGCAGGCCUGCAACACCAGCGCCCAGAUAAUAUUGUUUUUUAGGUCUCACUAUGUUGCCCAGGCUGGUCUUGAACUCCUGGCUUCAACUGAUCUUCCUGCCUCAGCCUCCCAAAGGGUUAGGAUUGCAGGCAUAAGCCACCACGUGGGGACACUGAUACAUUUUUCAAGAUUGCAAAGUUAAGGGAAAAAAUGGUAGCAUUUCUGAAACUUUUAAGCAUUUUUAUGUAAAACUGAAUAAUGUAAAUAUUCAGCUCUAAGUUAUGCAAUUCAAAAAGGCAUACUAGAGAAUAACAACUCAAAAUUACCUCUUUGAUCAGUCAACUUAAUUUUGACAGAAAGUGUCAUCACAAAGACUUCUCUGAACUUGUUCAACUAGUAGUGUUUAAACGUGUGUAUUCAUAACCUGUUCCUGCCUAUAAGAAUGAGCAUGUAUGCAUAAUUAUUGUAUUUUUAAAAGUUCUUGUGAAUAAAAUACUCUUUAUUGAAUAUCUAAACUAUGUAGUAAUAGAAAAUAGCAAAUUAUUUUUAUAAAAUCUAUCUUUAAAAUGGAAAUCAUAUGAAUAUAAAUAUUUUGUUAAUAUAUCCUUAAGUACAUUUCUAUUUACCAGGAGAAAAAUACAGUCUUGACUGCCACAUUAGGUUAUAUAUAAAAUGUCAACAGUUCAUUUUAUACCAUGCAUAAAUAUGGUUACAACUUUCACAAGAAUCUUUAAGUAAAAAGUCAAAGCUCAGGCAAGCAUAUGAAGAAACUGCUACAUAAUGACACAAUGAUUACUAUACGUAAGAAAAAUAUUAUUAGGACAGAUUUUCAAUUGCUAUAGCUUAGUUAAUUUGAGAAGAAAAGAAAAUUUUUGAUAUUUUAUUCAUAUGGUCUAGAAUUUCAUAUUUUCUUGUAUCAGUUAAAUUAUGAAAUUAGCCUUUAAUGAGAGUUUUUAAUAGCCUGUAUGUAUAUGCAGUUUACUUUAAAAAAUGGAAAAGAAAUCACGACUGGAUAAUUGCUAUUCAGGCUUGUAGAGAAUUAAUGAAAUUUUACCAACAUACC
RNAcentral lists this long non-coding RNA (1378 nucleotides) under Homo sapiens (human). RNAcentral's name for it is "HSALNT0297144". The record is from RNAcentral. Lineage: Eukaryota; Metazoa; Chordata; Mammalia; Primates; Hominidae.